RNAcentral lists this long non-coding RNA (1310 nucleotides) under Bos indicus x Bos taurus (hybrid cattle). Its description in RNAcentral is "lncRNA (ENSBIXG00000019119.1)". Lineage: Eukaryota; Metazoa; Chordata; Mammalia; Artiodactyla; Bovidae. The record is from RNAcentral.
UCAAGGCAGUCUUCCCGACUCCAGCCGGCUAAGGAAAAGCGAAAAUCGGUAGGUGAUGCCCAGGGUAUGAUUUAUCUGGUGAAAUCCAUGCAUCCCUCUCAGUUGUGUAUCAUCAUGGUGCUAAUCUCAGCCCUAGCACUCAGAUCACUCCUGCAUACAUGUCUACCCCUGGACGGCAGGUCUCAGAGGGGAGAGAGGGCCCCCAUGGCCAUGGGGAGGCAGGAGCUCCGGCACUGGGCCAUGGGACCCAGUGAGGUCAAACAUACAGAUGGAGAAGCCACUUUACACCAUCAGUCAUGAGGGUUGUGAGAGUUUUUGUUCCCAGUGAACUCGAGUCAGCGCUGGGAAAUUUCAGGUCUGGAGCAAUUGCAGUGAAUUAGCUGUCAAGUGGGCCCCUUGAAGGGGUCCUUACACAGAGCUGGGAUUUAUCUCACCCGAGCUGCUCUGCAUGGCUUUGCAUUCUGUCUAAUCUCAGAAGAAUGAUGAAAGGCUUUGGUAGCAGGUGGAUCUGGAUUGGAAUCCUGGCUCGGCCAUUGGCCAGCUGGGUGAACUCAGUCAUGCUGCUCAGGCUGCUUUUCUUCUUCUGUGAAGUGCAGCUAAGUGGGAACUGGACAGCACUCUGUGUGUGCAGCUCUUAGGGGCACCUGGACCACAGUGAGAGCUCAGUGAGAGGCAGGGGUGGAGCAGCGAUCUGUGCUUUUCCUGAUCAGUUACUUUGCUUCCUGAAGCCUCUUGUCCACCACUGGAGUGAAUUUUGAGGACCCUUUCUAGCAAGUGCAUGGCGUUCCCAUGUGGAUUCUGAGCCCUAGCUUGUUUCUAGUUUGUCCUAUUGCUUCCUCUUCGCUUUCUUCCUCCUGCACUCAUGGUUCACAGGAGCUCAGUGAAUUCUGUAUAUUUCAGGGGACAGGAGAUGGUUUGAUAACAUGUGAGGAUCCCAGCCUUCUCAUCCUGCCCACCAAAGUGGAUCUGGCUCUUACCCCACUGUCCCUGCUCCCAAGACAGACUGCAGGGUUCUGCCUUUGUCACUUUGGCUCCAGGAUUUGGCACAAAGACAAGGAGAAAAACAAGCUGUGGAGCUCUGCUGACUGGAAAGCAGGGGGGUUGGGAGGGACAAACCACACCGUUGUCCACUGACCUCCAGGCACUCUGAAGGCUGAUGAAAAGGGUAGCUUCGGAUGCUGGAAGCACCGAGAGGUACCUCUUUGAUCUGCCUGCUUUAAAAAUUCUAUCCUUACGGUAGCCUCACUUUAGGCCUUUUCAUUUCUACAGGAUUUCCUAAUCCCCUUUAAAUAAAGAUCAAAAAGGAGCCA